RNAcentral lists this ribosomal RNA (253 nucleotides) under uncultured bacterium. Its description in RNAcentral is "partial 16S ribosomal RNA". It matches the Rfam family "Bacterial small subunit ribosomal RNA", at positions 524 to 776 of the family's 1533-position model. The record is from RNAcentral.
UACAGAGGUCCCAAGCGUUAAUCGGAAUUACUGGGCGUAAAGCGUGCGCAGGCGGUUUUGUAAGACUGUCGUGAAAUCCCCGGGCUUAACCUGGGAAUGGCGAUGGUGACUGCAAGGCUAGAGUUUGGCAGAGGGGGGUAGAAUUCCACGUGUAGCAGUGAAAUGCGUAGAGAUGUGGAGGAACACCGAUGGCGAAGGCAGCCCCCUGGGUCAAAACUGACGCUCAUGCACGAAAGCGUGGGGAGCAAACAGG